GACGAACGCUGGCGGCGUGCUUAACACAUGCAAGUCGAGCGGUAAGGCCCUUUCGGGGGUACACGAGCGGCGAACGGGUGAGUAACACGUGGGUGACCUGCCUCUAGCUCUGGGAUAAGCCUGGGAAGCUGGGUCUAAUACCGGAUAUGACCUCGCGGUGCAUGUUGCGGGGUGGAAAGCCUUGCGCGGCUAGGGAUGGGCCCGCGGCCUAUCAGCUUGUUGGUGGGGUGAUGGCCUACCAAGGCGACGACGGGUAGCCGGCCUGAGAGGGCGACCGGCCACACUGGGACUGAGACACGGCCCAGACUCCUACGGGAGGCAGCAGUGGGGAAUCUUGCGCAAUGGGCGAAAGCCUGACGCAGCGACGCCGCCGUGAGGGA
Molecule: ribosomal RNA, 380 nt
Filed under: uncultured bacterium
Lineage: Bacteria
Description: bacterial SSU rRNA
Rfam family: Bacterial small subunit ribosomal RNA
Source: RNAcentral